This 883-nucleotide ribosomal RNA is filed under the name Halieaceae bacterium. RNAcentral's name for it is "bacterial SSU rRNA". It matches the Rfam family "Bacterial small subunit ribosomal RNA", at positions 84 to 964 of the family's 1533-position model. The record is from RNAcentral. Lineage: Bacteria; Pseudomonadati; Pseudomonadota; Gammaproteobacteria; Cellvibrionales; Halieaceae.
UGUGAGUAAAGCGGGCGGACGGGUGAGUAACGCGUAGGAAUCUACCUAGUAGUGGGGGACAACUCGGGGAAACUCGAGCUAAUACCGCAUACGCCCUACGGGGGAAAGCGGGGGACCUUCGGGCCUCGUGCUAUUAGAUGAGCCUGCGUUGGAUUAGCUAGUUGGUGGGGUAAAGGCCUACCAAGGCGACGAUCCAUAGCUGGUCUGAGAGGAUGAUCAGCCACACCGGGACUGAGACACGGCCCGGACUCCUACGGGAGGCAGCAGUGGGGAAUAUUGCGCAAUGGGCGAAAGCCUGACGCAGCCAUGCCGCGUGUGUGAAGAAGGCCUUCGGGUUGUAAAGCACUUUCAAUUGGGAGGAAAGGUUCACGGUUAAUAACCGUGAGCUGUGACGUUACCUUUAGAAGAAGCACCGGCUAACUCCGUGCCAGCAGCCGCGGUAAUACGGAGGGUGCGAGCGUUAAUCGGAAUUACUGGGCGUAAAGCGCGCGUAGGUGGUCUGUUAAGUCGGAUGUGAAAGCCCCGGGCUCAACCUGGGAACUGCACUCGAUACUGGCAGACUAGAGUGCGGGAGAGGGAGGUAGAAUUCCACGUGUAGCGGUGAAAUGCGUAGAUAUGUGGAGGAAUACCAGUGGCGAAGGCGGCCUCCUGGCUCGACACUGACACUGAGGUGCGAAAGCGUGGGAGCAAACAGGAUUAGAUACCCUGAUAGUCCACGCCGUAAACGAUGUCUACUAGCUGUAGGGGUACUUGAGACCUUUGUAGCGCAGCUAACGCAAUAAGUAGACCGCCUGGGGAGUACGGCCGCAAGGUUAAAACUCAAAUGAAUUGACGGGGGCCCGCACAAGCAGUGGAGCAUGUGGUUUAAUUCGAUGCAACGCGA